RNAcentral lists this ribosomal RNA (450 nucleotides) under uncultured bacterium. RNAcentral describes it as "bacterial SSU rRNA". It matches the Rfam family "Bacterial small subunit ribosomal RNA", at positions 29 to 524 of the family's 1533-position model. The record is from RNAcentral.
AACGAACGCUGGCGGCAUGCCUAACACAUGCAAGUCGAACGAGACCUUCGGGUCUAGUGGCGCACGGGUGCGUAACGCGUGGGAAUCUGCCCCUUGGUUCGGAAUAACAGUUAGAAAUGACUGCUAAUACCGGAUGAUGACGAAAGUCCAAAGAUUUAUCGCCGAGGGAUGAGCCCGCGUAGGAUUAGCUAGUUGGUGAGGUAAGGGCUCACCAAGGCGACGAUCCUUAGCUGGUCUGAGAGGAUGAUCAGCCACACUGGGACUGAGACACGGCCCAGACUCCUACGGGAGGCAGCAGUGGGGAAUAUUGGACAAUGGGCGAAAGCCUGAUCCAGCAAUGCCGCGUGAGUGAUGAAGGCCUAGGGUCGUAAAGGCUCUUUUACCAGGGAUGAUAAUGACAGUACCUGGAGAAUAAGCUCCGGCUAACUCCGUGCCAGCAGCCGCGGUAAU